RNAcentral lists this ribosomal RNA (466 nucleotides) under uncultured bacterium. Its description in RNAcentral is "partial 16S ribosomal RNA". It matches the Rfam family "Bacterial small subunit ribosomal RNA", at positions 28 to 507 of the family's 1533-position model. The record is from RNAcentral.
GACAAACGCUGGCGGCGUGCUUAACACAUGCAAGUCGAACGGAAAGGCCCUGCUUGCAGGGUACUCGAGUGGCGAACGGGUGAGUAACACGUGGGUGAUCUGCCCUGCACUUCGGGAUAAGCUUGGGAAACUGGGUCUAAUACCGGAUAGGAACCAUCUUUAGUGUGGUGGUUGGAAAGUUUUUUCGGUGUAGGAUGAGCUCGCGGCCUAUCAGCUUGUUGGUGGGGUAAUGGCCUACCAAGGCGGCGACGGGUAGCCGGCCUGAGAGGGUGUACGGCCACAUUGGGACUGAGAUACGGCCCAGACUCCUACGGGAGGCAGCAGUGGGGAAUAUUGCACAAUGGGCGCAAGCCUGAUGCAGCGACGCCGCGUGGGGGAUGAAGGCCUUCGGGUUGUAAACUCCUUUCGCUAGGGACGAAGCUUUGUUGUGACGGUACCUAGAUAAGAAGCACCGGCUAACUACGUG